Molecule: ribosomal RNA, 406 nt
Filed under: uncultured bacterium
Lineage: Bacteria
Description: partial 16S ribosomal RNA
Rfam family: Bacterial small subunit ribosomal RNA
Source: RNAcentral
GACGAACGCUGGCGGCAGGCCUAACACAUGCAAGUCGAGCGAGCGGCGGACGGGUGAUGAAUGUCUGGGAAACUGCCUGAUGGAGGGGGAGAACUACUGGAAACGGUAGCUAAUACCGCAUACCAUCAGAUGUGCCCAGAUGGGAUUAGCUAGUAGGUGGGGUAACGGCUCACCAAGGCGACGAUCCCUAGCUGGUCUGAGAGGAUGACCAGCCACACUGGAACUGAGACACGGUCCAGACUCCUACGGGAGGCAGCAGUGGGGAAUAUUGCACAAUGGGCGAAAGCCUGAUGCAGCCAUGCCGCGUGUGUGAAGAAGGCCUUCGGGUUGUAAAGCACUUUAAGCGGGGAGGCGUUACCAGCAGAAGAAGCACCGGCUAACUCCGUGCCAGCAGCCGCGGUAAUUC